This is a long non-coding RNA of Ictalurus punctatus (channel catfish), 2224 nucleotides long. NCBI's taxonomy places the organism in Eukaryota, Metazoa, Chordata, Actinopteri, Siluriformes, Ictaluridae. The record is from Ensembl.
GUGUGUACUUUGUGGUUAAGGAAGCAUUUAAUCCCACAAUGAAUAUUUUAAUUGCUUUAUUAUUUUCUGAAAGCAGAUCUAACUUGCUUUGUUUUGAUUUAUUCCAUUGUUCUCCUUUUCUUUCUUUUGUACCUCCAGCGUAUCACCUUUUCUCUGGAACCCCCUCCAACAUUCACACUUCAGAUUAGAGUUGCGCAAGCCAGAUUCGUGCAUGGAUGAGGAGGACAUGUCCCUAGACUCGGAUGAGGAUGCAACCAUGCAAGCGGAGGACAGGGCAGUGGAGAAGCAGGCCACUCUACCUCUUCAACCUGUGAGCGAGGACAUUCUGCCCCCUCUCUCUGACCCACAUAAAACAGUCCCUCUGUCCUCUUGUUCUGUGGAUUACAAUGUUCUCAAGGCGGCCAUCUCACAGUAUAAAGCUACUAAGCAGGCUGGAACAUCCAUGCCUGGGGGGGAGGACAACUUGGUUGGUUUUGGUGUGAACCCCCACCAGAGCUACUUGUACCCCAACUCAGCACAGUGGAGCCCCUAUUCCGGUUCUCCAGGCUAUCACAUGAGCUCUACCUAUUCUUCACCUGCAUGCUCAACUUUGCAAGGACAGGAGUACAGCCAAGUGAGCAGCAUGAGUGUAACCCCUGCCAGCACUGUCCCCCUGUCCCAAACUGCUAAUCAGGCUAACCCCAACUCUUCUUGUGUGAACCCACCUGCUAACACUGCUCCCCCGGGCCUGUCCCAAACCUCCUGCAGGGAGGACAUAGUUCCGGAUGGGCUGUCCUGCUCUCAACCCUUGCCUCAGGCUCAAACUCAGUCUCUUGAUGACAGUCAGCCAUUUUUGCCUGGCUCUCAAGAUACACAGACUAAAGCCAUGGAACCUCCUGUCCUCGCUUCCUCUUCUUCCUCCUCUAUACCUUGCACUAUGCCCAGCUACCCAGAUGGUCCUGUAUUCCCUGGGCCCAUACCCACACCCCCUGUGCCACCCAUGUAUAACUGGGCACCUCCAACAAGGGCACAGAAUAGCUAUGCUUCGGGGGGGAACACAGCACCUUUUGGGAAGAAUGAAGGUGCAGCAUCAACUGAAGGAUUAUGCAUAGGGCCUGGCGAGGGUUUGACUCUUAAUAAUAAAGUUGAUGGAAGUACGUCUGGCACACCGCCUUCCUCAUUACAGUACCAGGAUGGAGGGACUGAGAAAAGCAACACAUCGGGCAGUGUAAUGCCCUGCAGUCAGGGGAGUAGGACAUCAGUAGACUCUUGCACAGAGAGCCACAGAGGUGGCAUGACACAUGCCCGAGGCAUGACACAUGUCCGAGGCAUGUCUGGAGGGGGCAUGCCUUGCAACCCCAGAGGGCUCCUACCCCGGCCUGGAGUCACGAUGCGUCCUGCAUGCCGAGGAGGGCCACACGGGCCGAUCCCACACAGUGGGAACCGCAUGUUUGGCCCCCGAGGGCCCAUUCCAGGGCUUAUGGACAUCAGACGUGGAGGCUUCAGAGGUAGAGGAAUGCCCCCCAUGCCCAUGAGGUCCAGACCGGGCAGAGGGUCAAUGUGGGGAGGAACGCACUGUAACCGGGGCUAUGGUCCUCCAAAGGAUUACUACUCAGACUACACUUACUAAAAGGUUGGGAGCAGUCAGUACUUACAGACUACUGCCAUACAGAAUGUAUAUAGUCAACAUGAAGAGCACAUUUAAAUUUAAGGAAAAAAAGAGAAAGAAUUGGUUUUGUACCAUUAGAUCAACAAAUCAGACUGCGACCAGGAUUGUGUAACUCAAAAAUGCUCUUCUUUAAUGAGUUGUUUGAAACCUUGUUCAGACCACUAUAUUUAUAUCGCCAAGAAAUGUAAUUGCCUUUCAAUGUUUUUUUUUGUGUUAUAAUUUUCAAAAUGGUUUGUGAACAAGGGGCAAACGCAGACAAUAUUUUUUUAAAAAGAAAAAAGUGAAUCACUCUUCAUUUUAGCUGCUUUUGUUUUGUUUUGUUUUGUUUUUUUACAUUCUUGGUUGUACAAAUGUUCUAUUAAACAAGGUUGUAUCAAACAUAUUGUGUUGAGUAUAUUACCCUGAGAUUCUUUUAUUUAUAUUUAUGUUAAUACAUUUCAAAGCAUUGUUUGUUUACAGAUAUCGUAUUGAGGCUGUUGAAUCCCGCACACUUCUGCUGUCUGACCAAAAGAGGGCAGCUUUUCCUCUCGGUUUGGAGGAAUGUGGCAGAAUUGGAAUUAAGUUUCACCAUGCAGA